UAAACCAAAUAAAAACCAAUAUAAAAGUGUUGUGGCUGCAAAGACGAAAACUUAAAAACCAACCCCUGGAUAAGGUACGCCAAGAAAAAAAUGAAAAAGUGACCUUAUUACAUAAUUCCAUGUAUGUACUGUACAUAGGUUAUGAUCCACGUGUGGCAGGAAAUUGCUGACCUGGCCUGACCCUCGGUCUCGGAGGGGGUCCGCUCCAGUACCACGAUCAUCCGUCCCUCUUUUUGGUGCCACCGGACCUUGCCUGCAGGCGAAAAAACGGAUGGACUUGGCGAUCGGGACCGAGUUGUUUAUAUACAUAUAUCUCACGCGCAACUAUUAAACCAUCUGUUAUAUUAUAUCACCGCGCCUUGUGUAAAGAAAUGUUGGUGCUUGCAUAUGUAGGGUGUGGAAAAAUUAGCUCAGCGGUCAUUGCCCUUGCGGCUGACCAUACACCUAUAAAGAAAAUUGUUCAAUAAUAUUAAAUAUUCCUAGACAUUAACUUAGAAAUAGAAGAAGAAAAACAUGAAAUUUAUGCGUAGUUAAUAAUAGAUUCUAAAAGGGUGCCUGAUCGGUCUCAUUGUGUCCAUGGAAGGGUAUUGGUAAAAUACCUCUUCAUAACGCUUCUUGUUAUUUUGCAUAUUUCUACAUUUCUUUAACAGUUAGAACGUGAAAUUGGUUUAAAAGUCUGUAAGUAGACACACAUAUACACACAUACACUCCGGGUCAGGAGAAUAACGUCUACACAGUGAGACAUGCAUGCUUAACCAUAUAUAAAAUGAAUUAUUAUUAACUAUAAUCACUACAAUUAUGCCAUUUAAUUCAUUUAAUUAAUUAAUUCUUACUUUAUAUUUUGAUUAUAUUAUUUUUAUUCAUAUUUGAUCAUUCUCUUGAAUUCCUAUGUAUUAAAUUAGUCCCACAUAUAUAUACA
Molecule: long non-coding RNA, 919 nt
Filed under: Drosophila guanche
Lineage: Eukaryota; Metazoa; Arthropoda; Insecta; Diptera; Drosophilidae
Source: RNAcentral